AUCACUCCCUUAAUCAAGACAUAAAGUACUGAGAAAGGACACACAUAAAAAAGCAAGCAAGUGAUAAAAAGGUCCAUAUCUGCAAAUUAUUUACACACGGAGUCAACACCAUAUAUUAAAAAUUUGAAGGUAUUUCACCUAAGAAGAACUAAAUAACAUUGGCAGAAAUAUAGAAGGUUCUCUCAAUCUAUUUAGCUGCUUCAUUCCUAGUAUCUCAGGUGAAACUUUAAGUAAAAAAUGUUUUUCAGUGCAAAAAA
This is a long non-coding RNA of Quercus robur (English oak), 257 nucleotides long. RefSeq lists it as uncharacterized. The transcript is spliced from 2 exons. The record is from RefSeq and is a predicted model, not a curated record. Lineage: Eukaryota; Viridiplantae; Streptophyta; Magnoliopsida; Fagales; Fagaceae.